Helianthus annuus (common sunflower) is the source of this 1401-nucleotide long non-coding RNA. RefSeq lists it as uncharacterized. The record is from RefSeq and is a predicted model, not a curated record. The transcript has 4 exons. NCBI's taxonomy places the organism in Eukaryota, Viridiplantae, Streptophyta, Magnoliopsida, Asterales, Asteraceae.
UAUCUAUCAAUGAAAUAUCUCUUUCUCCCUACAUCUCUUUCUAUUAUUGUUUGCUAUUAGGCUAGUUUCACAACACGUUAUCAGCACGAAAGUGCUCUCUCUAAAACCUGUAUUUUCAAUAGUAUGACACCCGCACCUAAAUCACUCGUUCUCUGUUAACUAUCUUUAACACAAAGCCUACCACAACCAUCCCACACAUCUCGCUGCUUUGGCUGGAUUUAUGAGGCACCGCUGAUUGGAAAGGAUUUAAGAUGGUUCAAAACCUAUGGUGUUUCACCGUGGAAAACAUGAUAUUUGUAUGAGGGAUUUUUCCGACUCUUCGCUUUUGCCACUGAAGUUUGUCUUAUUUGAUUUCCACCCUCAGCAGACAAAACAACAAGCAACUCUCAAUCUCUUUUCUUCCUGAUCUCGGCGACCAUUGCUGCUCUCACUGAUCUUUGCAAGGUGUAUGUGCCGUUUUCUUCCAGCGUCACCAUCAACGUGACCACCACCGUCUUCCGCCUCUUUCCCACUUCCGCCGUCACGCGCAGCCGCUCCAAACCCUCUCCUUCAACCCCCGAAGACUCAACCCCUGAAGACCCACCCACCACCGACUCACCGGACACUGGGAGCUUCGAAGACCGUCUCUGACAGGUCCGUACGGAGACGAGGAUGAAAGCGUAUGCGAUUCUAGGGUUUCUCCUCCUCUCAGCCUUCACCGACAACGUAUCGCCGCUCUCAGUCACCGUCAACAACGUCGAAUGUGUAUACGAAUACGUACUCUACGAAGGCGAUACGGUUUCCGGUAACUUCGUUGUCGUCGAUCAUGAUAUCUUCUGGACCUCCGAUCAUCCCGGCAUCGACUUUAUUGGUUUUCUGGGUGUUGGGUGAUGGAUUUGUGCUUCUGGAUGAAGGCAGGAAGAAAGGGAAAAAGAGAAGAUAAAGAAAACGAGUUACCUUAGUGACGAGAGCGACAAGGAGGAACGAUUUAGAGAUAAGCCAUAAACAGAGCUUAUUUAUACAAAUUACAGGUGGCAUCACAAUUUGAUAUAUUCCGUCUUGCGUAAGAUUUUGUUUCCCCUUUUAUAAGUUUUUUUUAAUCUAGGCAGUGGGUUGAUUUAGUCGUAUGCCAAAUGUAUUCUUUUAAGAUAACGUGAAGAUUGGUGAACUUGGUGAUUGUUGUUAUAUUGGUGUUUUUAGGGGAAGCUGGCGAAGUGGUUAGAGAGUUGUGAAGUGGGAAAAAGACAUUUCAGAACAGAACAAUUUGCUUCUAUUUUGUGUGAAACUAUGUUGUUUCUAAUUCGUAAGUUGAACAAUUUGUAAGCCCCCAGCCGCAACGCGGCGGGGGUUAAUCCUAGUUGUUAUUAAUAAAUAUUUGAAAUAGUAGUGAUCAGUAAUACCUGCAGUUAAUUAAUUAAAAUA